GUUUUCCGUAGUGUAGUGGUUAUCAUGCUCGCCUAACACGCGAGAGGACCCUGGUUCGAAACCGGGCAGGAACA
This is a non-coding RNA of Phodopus roborovskii (desert hamster), 74 nucleotides long. The record is from the annotation of a RefSeq genome assembly. NCBI's taxonomy places the organism in Eukaryota, Metazoa, Chordata, Mammalia, Rodentia, Cricetidae.